CCUACGGGUGGCUGCAGUGAGGAAUAUUGGUCAAUGGGCGCGAGCCUGAACCAGCCAAGUCGCGUGAGGGAAGACGGUCCUAUGGAUUGUAAACCUCUUUUGUCGGGGAGCAAAAGACGCCACGCGUGGUGUUCCGAGAGUACCCGAAGAAAAAGCAUCGGCUAACUCCGUGCCAGCAGCCGCGGUAAUACGGAGGAUGCGAGCGUUAUCCGGAUUUAUUGGGUUUAAAGGGUGCGUGGGCGGAAGAUCAAGUCAGCGGUAAAAUUGAGAGGCUCAACCUCUUCGAGCCGUUGAAACUGGUUGUCUUGAGUGAGCGAGAGGUAUGCGGAAUGCGUGGUGUAGCGGUGAAAUGCAUAGAUAUCACGCAGAACUCCGAUUGCGAAGGCAGCAUACCGGAGCUCAACUGACGCUCAUGCACGAAAGUGUGGGUAUCGAACAGGAUUAGAUACCCUUGUAGUC
This 459-nucleotide ribosomal RNA is filed under the name uncultured bacterium. RNAcentral describes it as "partial 16S ribosomal RNA". It matches the Rfam family "Bacterial small subunit ribosomal RNA", at positions 338 to 795 of the family's 1533-position model. The record is from RNAcentral.